UGGGGAAUAUUGCACAAUGGGCGCAAGCCUGAUGCAGCCAUGCCGCGUGUGUGAAGAAGGCCUUCGGGUUGUAAAGCACUUUCAGCGAGGAGGAAGGUGGUGAACUUAAUACGUUCAUCAAUUGACGUUACUCGCAGAAGAAGCACCGGCUAACUCCGUGCCAGCAGCCGCGGUAAUACGGAGGGUGCAAGCGUUAAUCGGAAUUACUGGGCGUAAAGCGCACGCAGGCGGUUUGUUAAGUCAGAUGUGAAAUCCCCGGGCUCAACCUGGGAACUGCAUUUGAAACUGGCAAGCUAGAGUCUCGUAGAGGGGGGUAGAAUUCCAGGUGUAGCGGUGAAAUGCGUAGAGAUCUGGAGGAAUACCGGUGGCGAAGGCGGCCCCCCUGGACGAAGACUGACGCUCAGGUGCGAAAGCGUGGGGCAGCAAACAGGAUUAGAUACCCUGGUAGUCCACGCUGUAAACGAUGUCGAUUUGGAGGUUGUGCCCUUGAGGCGUGGCUUCCGGAGCUAACGCGUUAAAUCGACCGCCUGGGGAGUACGGCCGCAAGGUUAAAACUCAAAUGAAUUGAC
RNAcentral lists this ribosomal RNA (569 nucleotides) under uncultured bacterium. RNAcentral's name for it is "partial 16S ribosomal RNA". It matches the Rfam family "Bacterial small subunit ribosomal RNA", at positions 355 to 914 of the family's 1533-position model. The record is from RNAcentral.